AGCUUUGCACAGUGACAGUAUCGUAGCCAAGGCAGAGUUUUUGCUUAUUGAAAACUUUUCCCAAUACCUCACUAUGAUGACUUCAUAUAUAGUUUGCAAUGGCAAUUCUUGAUGGUCUCAGCAGAGA
Chiloscyllium plagiosum (whitespotted bambooshark) is the source of this 127-nucleotide non-coding RNA. The record is from RefSeq and is a predicted model, not a curated record. NCBI's taxonomy places the organism in Eukaryota, Metazoa, Chordata, Chondrichthyes, Orectolobiformes, Hemiscylliidae.